AGCAGCCGCGGUAAUUCCAGCUCCAAUAGCGUAUAUUAAAGUUGUUGCAGUUAAAAAGCUCGUAGUUGAAUUUCGGGAUUAAUAUGUUGGUCGUGCCUUGGUACGUACUGGCAUUAUUGAUUCCUACCUUCUGAAGAACCUCGAUGUCAUUAAUUUGGUGUCUUGGGGAAUCAGGACCGUUACUUUGAGAAAAUUAGAGUGUUUAAAGCAGGCUCGCGCUUGAAUACAUUAGCAUGGAAUAAUGAAAUAGGACGUUUGAUUCUAUUUUGUUGGUUUCUAGGAUCGACGUAAUGAUUAAUAGGGAUAGUUGGGGGCAUUAGUAUUCAAUUGUCAGAGGUGAAAUUCUUGGAUUUAUUGAAGACUGACUACUGCGAAAGCAUUUGCCAAGGAUGUUUUCAUUAAUCAAGAACGAAAGUUAGGGGAUCGAAGACGAUCAGAUACCGUCGUAGUCUUAACCAUAAAC
RNAcentral lists this unclassified non-coding RNA (463 nucleotides) under uncultured Glomus. RNAcentral's name for it is "SSU rRNA". It matches the Rfam family "Eukaryotic small subunit ribosomal RNA", at positions 569 to 1037 of the family's 1831-position model. The record is from RNAcentral. Lineage: Eukaryota; Fungi; Glomeromycota; Glomeromycetes; Glomerales; Glomeraceae.